UGCUACAGGCUUAACACAUGCAAGUCGAGGGGCAGCAGGAUCUAGCAAUAGAUUGCUGGCGACCGGCGCACGGGUGAGUAACACGUAUCCAACCUGCCGAUAACUCGGGGAUAGCCUUUCGAAAGAAAGAUUAAUACCCGAUGGCAUAAUUAGACCGCAUGGUCUUAUUAUUAAAGAAUUUCGGUUAUCGAUGGGGAUGCGUUCCAUUAGGCAGUUGGUGAGGUAACGGCUCACCAAACCUUCGAUGGAUAGGGGUUCUGAGAGGAAGGUCCCCCACAUUGGAACUGAGACACGGUCCAAACUCCUACGGGAGGCAGCAGUGAGGAAUAUUGGUCAAUGGGUGUAGGCCUGAACCAGCCAAGUAGCGUGAGGGAUGACUGCCCUAUGGGUUGUAAACUUCUUUUAUAUGGGAAUAAAGUUUUCCACGUGUGGAAUUUUGUAUGUACCAUAUGAAUAAGGAUCGGCUAACUCCGUGCCAGCAGCCGCGGUAAUACGGAGGAUCCGAGCGUUAUCCGGAUUUAUUGGGUUUAAAGGGAGCGUAGGUGGACAGUUAAGUCAGUUGUGAAAGUUUGCGGCUCAACCGUAAAAUUGCAGUUGAUACUGGCUGUCUUGAGUACAGUAGAGGUGGGCGGAAUUCGUGGUGUAGCGGUGAAAUGCUUAGAUAUCACGAAGAACUCCGAUUGCGAAGGCAGCUCACUGGACUGCAACUGACACUGAUGCUCGAAAGUGUGGGUAUCAAACAGGAUUAGAUACCCUGGUAGUCCACACAGUAAACGAUGAAUACUCGCUGUUUGCGAUAUACAGUAAGCGGCCAAGCGAAAGCAUUAAGUAUUCCACCUGGGGAGUACGCCGGCAACGGUGAAACUCAAAGGAAUUGACGGGGGCCCGCACAAGCGGAGGAACAUGUGGUUUAAUUCGAUGAUACGCGAGGAACCUUACCCGGGCUUAAAUUGCAUUUGAAUAAUCUGGAAACAGGUUAGCCGUAAGGCAAAUGUGAAGGUGCUGCAUGGUUGUCGUCAGCUCGUGCCGUGAGGUGUCGGCUUAAGUGCCAUAACGAGCGCAACCCUUAUCUUUAGUUACUAACAGGUCAUGCUGAGGACUCUAGAGAGACUGCCGUCGUAAGAUGUGAGGAAGGUGGGGAUGACGUCAAAUCAGCACGGCCCUUACGUCCGGGGCUACACACGUGUUACAAUGGGGGGUACAGAAGGCAGCUACCUGGUGACAGGAUGCUAAUCCCAAAAGCCUCUCUCAGUUCGGAUCGAAGUCUGCAACCCGACUUCGUGAAGCUGGAUUCGCUAGUAAUCGCGCAUCAGCCAUGGCGCGGUGAAUACGUUCCCGGGCCUUGUACACACCGCCCGUCAAGCCAUGAAAGCCGGGGGUACCUGAAGUACGUAACCGCAAGGAGCGUCCUAGGGUAAAACUGGUAAUUGGGGCUA
This 1436-nucleotide ribosomal RNA is filed under the name uncultured organism. Its description in RNAcentral is "SSU rRNA". It matches the Rfam family "Bacterial small subunit ribosomal RNA". The record is from RNAcentral.